Molecule: long non-coding RNA, 1311 nt
Filed under: Equus caballus (horse)
Lineage: Eukaryota; Metazoa; Chordata; Mammalia; Perissodactyla; Equidae
Description: lncRNA (ENSECAG00000053117.1)
Source: RNAcentral
CUUGAAAAAUCAUUCUGCCUCAGAUUUUGAUGUCUCAAGUACUUUAGCAGUUUCUUCAAACAGGAGCAAGACUUUGUACUUUUUCCUCAAAGUAUUUCAAUUAUUUCACACUCAUGAACCAGUUUAAGACUACAGAACUUCAUUGCAGGAAGUCAUGAUUUUGAAGGAGGCAGUUCUCAGAACGUGAUGCUCUGAUUGGCCCCCAAACCUCCAUCCUGAGCUCCAGCCUCCGCCCUCCUGAAGCCGUUGGAUUACCUGCUGCUGCUAUGAACAAGGAGGGUCUUCAGACAGCUUCUAGAAUUUCAAGCUGGAAACGCUCCCAGGGAGAAGACAUGGUCAACCCUACAUCUCUGGUGAGGCCCAACCACCCUCCUGGAACUCAGAGGCAGCCUGAGGGCUCUUCCACACUGCUUUCAGCUCUUCACCACUGUGCCGAAGACUACGAGGAACACGUGAGCGCAUGACUCAGAAGCCUCAGGGAAGAUGGAGGGCGAGGUGCUGGCAAUUUUUCCGGCAACUCUUUGCGUGAGAUGACAUGCAACAGGGAGCAGGGCUAUUCUGGCCUUGUGGGGAGAGAGAUUGGAAGACGUGACAUUUGUUCCACAGCUGGCUGGCGGCACUGGUUCUGAGCUUUUGUAGAGAGGAGGUGAACAGGCAGCAGCAGAAGAAAGGGGAGAUGUGGACACAGAGACAGAGGCGCAGAGGAAAGAUGAGAAGACGCACAGGGAGAAGACCGCCGUGUGACUGGAGUGAUGCAUCCACCAGCCAACGAAGCCCCAGGAUUGCCAGGAACACCCAAAGCGACAAGAGGCAAGGAAGAAUUCUCCCCUAGAGCUGUCAGAGGAAACACAGCCCUACGGACACCUUGAUCUCAGACUUCUGGCCUCCAGAACUGUCACAGAAUACAUUUCUGUUGUUUUAAGCCACGCAGCUUGUAGUGCUGUGUUUUGGUAGCCAAGAGAGUGCUCAGCCAGUGCUCUCUCUGAGGGGACACCAUGAGCUGGUUCUGAGAGUAUGGAAGCAACUGGAAGCUGGAACCAACCACUACUAGAAUCACCUGCCACUACUAGGAUGGAACACUCUGGUUGGCAUGACGCUGACAGAGACAAUGAGCAAAACAGAAGUGCCCUCUCUCUCUUCCAGCCUUCCUGUCACCUCUUAUUUGCUCCUUGGCCAAUGCCCAUGUAAUGGGGGGCCAGCUGUCAGGGGAGAAACAUUGUGUGCCAAGUCCUGGCUUCACAGAACUGACUCUGGCAGGUGGAGGGGGAGCUGAGAGACAAGAGCCUAGUACCCAGCAUCGGGCAUGGAAGC